CCUAGCUGCCCCACAAAGCCCACGAAGAAAUUUACACAUCGAAGAAAAGGGCGAGCGACUACUCUCGAGAAACCUAGGUACGCCGCCGCCGCCGCUAUCGUCCACGCUAUCCCUCCCGUCACGCGCCCUCACGCCACCUCGCCGGCGGCCUCCGCCCCUCCUAUCCUCUCCCCCAAAGUUGCCGACCUCGUCUCCCACCCUCUCCUCCUCACCUCAUCAGAAGAUAAGAGAAGAGAAGAGGGAGAUCGACCAGGUCAGGCGCAGGCCAUGGCGGCGGCCAGAUCCGCCACGGCCGCAACGACCUCGCCAAGGAUCAGGAUAUUUGCCGCCACAGAGAUCACGACCAGCGACCAAUCUGUCCUGCGUCACCUUCACCGACGUCGCGGCUCAUAGGCGACGCGACAAUGAACCAGGCCGCCACGAACCCCGUCGACACUGUCUUCUGUGAGAACUGCCAACUGACUGUCACCUGCUAAUUUUCCUUUUUUUGUUUAGGGGCAGUCUUUUUUUGCAUGGUAAGGGCAGGCCUUCUGUUAGUUAAUCAAGUUUCUCAGGUUCAUGUGUUUGUGUAACGGCGUUUUGUGCUUGUGUUGCAUAUAUAUUUAUCAAAGUAGUAUCGACAAUAUAGACAUGCCCAGAGCCUUACAUCCCUGCCAUCCCUUACAUUCUUCAGUUGUCAAAUGCCCAACCAGCUAUUCAGAUUCCUGCAUCUUUUUUUCCAGUUUUUUUUCAUAUUGAUCUAUGUAUUAUGGUGAAUCCUUCAAUCCAAGAUUCCAUAAGACGAUAUAGAAGUUUGGGAUUAAUUGAAGUACAAAUAUGUAUGAGCUGUUGGAUGGAGGGUUGGCCAGAAUUCCUCUAGCAGUCAGCACAGGAGAGCCAGGACGGUGGCGGUGGAGCCUCCGGCGUCAGGGCACCGCUGCCGUCGUUCCCGCUCCAUAGAUCACCAACUGGAUUCAUUGACCGCUGCCUGGAUGAAAGCAAGGGAACCCAACCCAUCCAGAUUCGUCUGAUGUGUUCAAGAAAUCAUCAGUGUUGUCAUACAUGACAGGCUGAUUAACAGGGUCAGUGGAUACACACCCAUCUUGUUAAAAGUAAAAUAAUAUUCUGUUGGUACAUGUUUGUGUAUAUGAUUAGAGAUAAAAAAUCUGAGUUGUGAUGCCUGUGCAUUAGUAUGGCUCAGGAGUUUUAGCUGGUGGUUUUCAAGAUCAAUAAGAUGGAGUGUUUGUUCGCUGAUCCACUUGACUUUGAUUCAAAGUGCACGAACCUGAAUGCAGGCAUCAUUUUGACUGGAAAGCCUUUCUUUUUUCAUUCUUUGAGAUCAGUAAACAUCAUCAUGUAAUUCAAUGCCUGGAUAGUUUUGGGCAGCUUUAUAAUUUAGUAAACAAUAUUAGCACCUCACUUAAUUGAAAUUUUGUGUGUGUUUCUUGUGCUCACCUUGCAAGCCCUUAAAAACAAGAUGACAAAGAAUUUGGUAUACAUUUCGUAAUUAAAUGUCUGUCUUAUAUUGCAAUUUAUAUUAUCAUCAAUGAUUGUUUGAUGAAUAAAAUUUCUGUCUUAUAUUAUCAAUGAUUGUUUGAUGAAUUUAUAUUACCUUUUCUACUCCCUCCGUUUCAGUUUACAAGUCCUGCGCGUAUACCUAGGUUGCCAAUUUUAUCACCCUAAUAUAAACUAUAUAACACAAAAAUUAUACCGUUUGAAAAUAGAACAUCUGAAGUUUAUAUUGGUAUAUUUUUUGUAGUAUAUGACUUGUAUUAGGUUGGUCAAAUUGACGACCUAGAGGUACGUGCACGUCCUGUAAACUGAGAGGGAGGGAGUAACAUAGUAAAGCUAUGUUUAGAAGUAUCCACUAAUUAAUUUGUGAGGAGAUAAAAAAUAUGCUUACUCAAUGUCAUAAAUAUCGAAUGAACCUGUAGAAUAAUCAGUUGGGUACCUUAUGUUAGUUUGAGGGGUUCAUAAUUUGUACAGUGUUAAUUUUCAGUUGAACUAUGUAUUGUUCUUCCAUGUAUUUGUAUGCAGUGUUGUCCCACCCUAUGUUAAUUGAUAAUAUUUGACAAUAAUUGUUAUGUAUUUUUCAUUGUGUAUAUGUACAGUUUGGAUAUUGUACCAUUUAAUUUUUAUAUAUAAUUUCAAUAGAGUUUUCUUACAAA
Triticum aestivum (bread wheat) is the source of this 2147-nucleotide long non-coding RNA. RefSeq lists it as uncharacterized. The transcript is spliced from 2 exons. The record is from RefSeq and is a predicted model, not a curated record. NCBI's taxonomy places the organism in Eukaryota, Viridiplantae, Streptophyta, Magnoliopsida, Poales, Poaceae.